GUAGGUGAACCUGCGGAAGGAUCAUCAACACGUAUCCAACGUAAAACCGUGCAUUUUAACCCUGCUCUCUUCGCCUUGACAAAGCAAUCUCUGGUAAAUCACGCGAGCAGUUUGAUUCAGAGACUUCUUCGAGACGCGUGGAUGGAGCGGUAGAGCAAUUAGACUUGGUUUCCGCAAGGAUAACUGAUACUUACUCAGAUCGUUGACCCUCACUGUCGGUCUCUUGACUUACGCCCCAUAUUAACCCCCA
RNAcentral lists this unclassified non-coding RNA (250 nucleotides) under plant metagenome. Its description in RNAcentral is "partial contains small subunit ribosomal RNA, internal transcribed spacer 1, and 5.8S ribosomal RNA". The record is from RNAcentral.